Molecule: ribosomal RNA, 253 nt
Filed under: uncultured bacterium
Lineage: Bacteria
Description: partial 16S ribosomal RNA
Rfam family: Bacterial small subunit ribosomal RNA
Source: RNAcentral
UACGUAGGGGGCGAGCGUUGUCCGGAGUUACUGGGCGUAAAGCGCACGCAGGCGGUCUGCUAAGUUUGGAGUGACAGUUGGUGGCUUAACCGCCAAAGUGCUUCGAAAACUGACAGACUUGAGGGCUUCAGAGGGACACGGAAUUCCGGGUGGAGUGGUGAAAUGCGUAGAGAUCCGGAGGAACACCAAAGGCGAAGGCAGUGUCCUGGGGAGUACCUGACGCUCAGGUGCGAAAGCCAGGGGAGCGAACGGG